RNAcentral lists this ribosomal RNA (144 nucleotides) under uncultured bacterium. RNAcentral's name for it is "partial 16S rRNA". It matches the Rfam family "Bacterial small subunit ribosomal RNA", at positions 355 to 511 of the family's 1533-position model. The record is from RNAcentral.
UGGGGAAGUUUUCCGUCAAUGGGCGGAAAGCCUGACGGAGCAAUGCCGCGUGGAGGUGGAAGGCCUACGGGUCGUCAACUUCUUUUCUCGGAGAAGAAACAAUGACGGUAUCUGAGGAAUAAGCAUCGGCUAACUCUGUGCCAG